RNAcentral lists this ribosomal RNA (465 nucleotides) under Vreelandella stevensii. RNAcentral describes it as "partial 16S ribosomal RNA". It matches the Rfam family "Bacterial small subunit ribosomal RNA", at positions 338 to 795 of the family's 1533-position model. Lineage: Bacteria; Pseudomonadati; Pseudomonadota; Gammaproteobacteria; Oceanospirillales; Halomonadaceae. The record is from RNAcentral.
CCUACGGGUGGCAGCAGUGGGGAAUAUUGGACAAUGGGCGAAAGCCUGAUCCAGCCAUGCCGCGUGUGUGAAGAAGGCCUUCGGGUUGUAAAGCACUUUCAGUGGGGAAGAAAGCCUUGGGGCUAAUACCCUCGAGGAAGGACAUCACCCACAGAAGAAGCACCGGCUAACUCCGUGCCAGCAGCCGCGGUAAUACGGAGGGUGCGAGCGUUAAUCGGAAUUACUGGGCGUAAAGCGCGCGUAGGCGGUCUGAUAAGCCGGUUGUGAAAGCCCCGGGCUCAACCUGGGAACUGCAUCCGGAACUGUCAGGCUAGAGUGCAGGAGAGGAAGGUAGAAUUCCCGGUGUAGCGGUGAAAUGCGUAGAGAUCGGGAGGAAUACCAGUGGCGAAGGCAGCCUUCUGGACUGACACUGACGCUGAGGUGCGAAAGCGUGGGUAGCAAACAGGAUUAGAUACCCCUGUAGUC